This is a non-coding RNA of Salmo salar (Atlantic salmon), 55 nucleotides long. The record is from Rfam. Lineage: Eukaryota; Metazoa; Chordata; Actinopteri; Salmoniformes; Salmonidae.
UACAUUCACUACUGUAAGUCGCUCUGGAUAAGUGCGUCUGCUAAAAUGACCAAAA